CCAGCCGGCCGGACGGCCGCUCCCCUGGCGGGAGAGGAAAGUCCGGGCUCCAUGGAGACACGGUGCCGGAUAACAUCCGGCGGGGGCGACCCCAGGGAAAGCGCCACAGAAAGCAAACCGCCCCGCAUGCGGGGCAAGGGUGAAAGGGUGCGGCAAGAGCGCACCGCGCGGACGGCAACGCCCGCGGCACGGCAAGCCCCACCGGGAGCAAGACCGAAUAGGGGCGAUGAGGAACAGGCGCCUUCGGGCAGUCGGUUCCGGGCCCGUCUCCGGGCCAUCGCCCGGGUUGGUUGCACGAGGCGGCCGGCAACGGCCGUCGCAGAGGAAUGGCCGUCGGGCGCGAUGAGCGCCUACAGAACCCGGCUUACAGGCCGGCUGGCAUU
RNAcentral lists this RNase P RNA (383 nucleotides) under Methylobacteriaceae bacterium. RNAcentral's name for it is "RNase P RNA component class A". It matches the Rfam family "Bacterial RNase P class A". From Rfam's summary of the family: Ribonuclease P (RNase P) is a ubiquitous endoribonuclease, found in archaea, bacteria and eukarya as well as chloroplasts and mitochondria. Its best characterised activity is the generation of mature 5'-ends of tRNAs by cleaving the 5'-leader elements of precursor-tRNAs. Cellular RNase Ps are ribonucleoproteins. The record is from RNAcentral. Lineage: Bacteria; Pseudomonadati; Pseudomonadota; Alphaproteobacteria; Hyphomicrobiales; Methylobacteriaceae.